Molecule: unclassified non-coding RNA, 269 nt
Filed under: Ascomycota sp.
Lineage: Eukaryota; Fungi; Ascomycota
Description: partial contains small subunit ribosomal RNA, internal transcribed spacer 1, and 5.8S ribosomal RNA
Rfam family: Eukaryotic small subunit ribosomal RNA (bases 1-47)
Source: RNAcentral
AAAGUCGUAACAAGGUCUCCGUUGGUGAACCAGCGGAGGGAUCAUUAUAGAGUCUACAAAACUCCCAAACCCAUGUGAACAUACCUAUCGUUGCCUCGGCAGGUCGCGCCCUGAGACCCGCUACGACCCCCCCUUACGGGGAGGCCCUAUGCGGGAGGACUGGACGCGGUUACCGCCUGCCGCUGGCCUGACAAACUCUGUUUAAUACUGAAAAUCUGAACAACAAACUUAAUAAGUUAAAACUUUCAACAACGGAUCUCUUGGUUCUG